UCGGGAAUUUUGCGCAAUGGGCGAAAGCCUGACGCAGCAACGCCGCGUGUGGGAUGAAGGCCUUCGGGUUGUAAACCUCUUUUCUCAGGGAAGAUGAUGACGGUACCUGAGGAAUAAGCCACGGCUAACUACGUGCCAGCAGCCGCGGUAAUACGUAGGUGGCAAGCGUUGUCCGGAUUUACUGGGCGUAAAGAGCGCGCAGGCGGUCGGACAAGUCGCGUGUGAAAGCCCCCGGCUCAACUGGGGAGGGUCACGCGAUACUGUUCGGCUUGAAGGCAGGAGAGGGAAGUGGAAUUCCCGGUGUAGUGGUGAAAUGCGUAGAUAUCGGGAGGAACACCAGUGGCGAAGGCGACUUCCUGGCCUGUUCUUGACGCUGAGGCGCGAAAGCUAGGGGAGCAAACGGGAUUAGAUACCCCGGUAGUCCUAGCCGUAAACGAUGGACACUAGGUGUUGGUGGUAUCAACCCCGCAGUGCCGAAGCUAACGCAUUAAGUGUCCCGCU
Molecule: ribosomal RNA, 501 nt
Filed under: uncultured Acidobacteriota bacterium
Lineage: Bacteria; Pseudomonadati; Acidobacteriota
Description: bacterial SSU rRNA
Rfam family: Bacterial small subunit ribosomal RNA
Source: RNAcentral